This 253-nucleotide ribosomal RNA is filed under the name uncultured bacterium. Its description in RNAcentral is "partial 16S ribosomal RNA". It matches the Rfam family "Bacterial small subunit ribosomal RNA", at positions 524 to 776 of the family's 1533-position model. The record is from RNAcentral.
UACGAAGGGGGCUAGCGUUGCUCGGAAUCACUGGGCGUAAAGGGCGCGUAGGCGGCCGUUCAAGUCGGGGGUGAAAGCCUGUGGCUCAACCACAGAAUGGCCCUCGAUACUGGAUGGCUCGAGACCGGAAGAGGUUGGUGGAACUGCGAGUGUAGAGGUGAAAUUCGUAGAUAUUCGCAAGAACACCAGUGGCGAAGGCGGCUGACUGGUCCGGUUCUGACGCUGAGGCGCGAAAGCGUGGGGAGCAAACAGG